GUGGGGCCUACAUGCCGCGUAGGGAGCUGUUGGUCUCCAGGUUGGUGAGGUUUCCCCGUAGGUCCUGCUCCUCCUCGAAAGCCUUGAACAGUGCGUUGAAGUUGCCGGCUCCAAAACCCUGGAGCGGGAGAGAGAAGAAGCCAGGGCCCCAGGGUCUAGGAAAGGCCCCACCUGGAUCUGGGACUUCUUCUUCCCCGGGGCCGGCUCAUUAAUGGGCAUCUUGAUGGACUCCUCGUAAUUGGCCACCACGAUGGAGCGCAGAGAGCUGUAUUCUGUGUGCACCUGCGUGUCAUCCACGGACCAGAACCGGUGAAACUGCAGAUUCUUCAGGUACCUGCGGGGUGGCCGUAAGGACACGUGGGCUCUGCGUGCCCAGCAGGGACUGGGUCCUUGCCCCGCCUUCCGCCUUCCAGAAUUUGUCUCCUGAGCAGGCUCCAAAAAGGAGCCACUGCUCACCUCACAUACAUGGUACACCAGGACCUUGAUUCUGACCAUUUUCCUUCAAGGGGAACAUGAAGUGUCCCAUGACAAGACCUGUGUGGUCUGGCACGGGUCCGACCAAGAGAAGUGCUUCGAGAAGGGAACCUGUUUCUGUUUUGCAUGAGGCUGCUGUUGGGGUAGUGACAGACUUCCUCCAGAUCUCCCUGGACUGUGAUGCCCUGUGUGCCAAGCUUCCCCACGAGUCCUCCGAGGGAGGACUUGUGGCUCCUUUUGAGCCUUCAAGCCUCUGGUCCUCUGGGAACAGAUGGCUUAGGGACAUCAGGCGAAGCUCCCUCUCCCUUGCGCUCCAUUUCCCACUCACGUGUCCUGAGCAGAGAACUGGGGAGUGGGCCUGUCUCCUUUGCAGUGAGGGGUUGGGCCAGGGACUCACCACUCAGAGGCAGACACCAUCUCCUGGUCAGGCUGGUUUCCCACAAUGUGGUCGAUAAUCUCGAGACUGCAGGUAGGCCUGGGGGGAGGGAUGGGGGUGGGGAGGAAGCCGUUAGGAGGUGAGGACAGGGUUAGUUCCUACACCUCCCCUUCCCCACAGUGACAGCUCACUGUGACAUAGCGCCUACUGGGGCACCUUGCAGGUGUCGUGACUGGUGUGCUAUUACUGGCCCCAUUGUACAGAUGGGGAACUGAGGCAGAGAGGAAUAAAGUAACUACAGAGGUUAAAUAGCUAGGAAAUGACCGAGCCCUAGGGUGCCUGGUGGCUCAGUUGGUUAAGCGGCUGCCUUCAGCUCAGGCCGUGAUCUCAGGGUCCUGGGGUCACCUGCGCAUCGGGCUCCCUGCUCCUCAGGGAGUCUGCUUCUCCCUCUCCCCCUGCCCCCUGCUUGUGCGCACGCUCUCUUUCAAAUAAAUAAAUAAAAUCUUUUUUAAAAAAAGGCAGAGUGGGGUUUCGAGCCCAAGCAAUUGGUUCCAGAGCCUAGGUGCUUAGCCUCUGUGCUGCCUCUUUAGGCUACCCUUGGGAACCCUCAGGCAUUCCCCAGCAGCCUCUCAGGGCAGCUCAGAGAUGCUCAGUCUGCAUGGAGGGUAAGGCAUGGCUUUCCGCCCCUCCCCUCACCCCCUGCCUCAGGACUUUCUGCUCCCACCACCCCAGCCCGAGGGGCACUCACAGCUUGGAAAGUAGGGGGUCCACGGAUACUGGGGCCUCGAAUCCAGGCAAGAACCGGCCAGUAUAGUUCAUCUUUUCCACCAGGGUGUGCGUGGUGUCCCCAUACUAUGGGUGGAAAACAGCCCGGCUUGGCCCGAGACCCCAUCCCUGCCAAGACUGGGCCCCAUCUCGUGGUGCCCACACCACUCCAAGCGGGGUCUGACCCUAACUCUCUGUGUGAUCUUGGAUCCCAGAUGCCUGGCUCCGCCUCCAAGCUGACACCUGCUGCUGUUUCAGCCCUAUCGCAAGCUGCGUGGAGCUAAAAUCAGGUGAAACCACUAUUAUCACGUCAGUGGCUCCAGCAUUGCGUAAGCCGGGAGUGAGGUUACUCAAGAUUAAACACUGAUGCCUUCCAGACUGAACCUGUGUCCUCAUCAUCCAAAGUCCCCAAGCUUUGAAACAUCAUCCACCCUUCAGAGUUAUUGAAAGUCAAUUUAGGGGAAAAAAGAGAAGAUACACAUAAUUAAAAGGAGAAAAAAACAAGGAGAAAAAAAAAUACAGAAGACAAACCCACCCAGGAUCCUUCCUCCACAGACUAUAAACAACCACCAUGACUGAUCUGGGCAUAACCACUGAGCUACACAUUGAUACGUACGUAGGUAUGGGGACAUGUAUAGAUGGUUAUGAGUAUAGAUACACUUUCCUAUAACAACUUCUUAGACGUGUGCUUUGUAAACACUUUUCAUAGUAAUAAACACCUAUGUUCAUUGUG
This is a long non-coding RNA of Mustela lutreola (European mink), 2348 nucleotides long. RefSeq lists it as uncharacterized. The transcript has 5 exons. The record is from RefSeq and is a predicted model, not a curated record. Lineage: Eukaryota; Metazoa; Chordata; Mammalia; Carnivora; Mustelidae.